GGAGGGUGCAAGCGUUACUCGGAAUCACUGGGCGUAAAGCGCAUGCAGGCGGCCAGAUAAGUUGGAAGUGAAAGCCUACGGCUCAACCGUAGAACUGCUUCCAAAACUGUUUGGCUAGAGUCUGGGAGGGGAAGAUGGAAUUAGUAGUGUAGGGGUAAAAUCCGUAGAGAUUACUAGGAAUACCAAAAGCGAAGGCGAUCUUCUGGAACAGUACUGACGCUGAGAUGCGAAAGCGUGGGGAGCAAACAGGAUUAGAUACCCUGGUAGUCCACGCAGUAAACGAUGAAUGUUAGUCGUUGGUAUCCUAGAGAUAUCAGUGAUGCAGUUAACACAUUAAACAUUCCGCCUGGGGAGUACGGUCGCAAGAUUAAAACUCAAAGGAAUAGACGGGGACCCGCACAAGUGGUGGAGCAUGUGGUUUAAUUCGAAGAUACGCGAAGAACCUUACCUAGCCUUGACAUAUUUUAGAACUCCGCAGAGAUGCAGAGGUGCCUUCGGGAGCUAUCUUACAGGUGCUGCACGGCUGUCGUCAGCUCGUGUCGUGAGAUGUUGGGUUAAGUCCCGCAACGAGCGCAACCCUCGUCACUAGUUACUAACGGUUCGGCCGAGGACUCUAGUGAGACUGCCUUCGUAAGGAGGAGGAAGGUGAGGACGACGUCAAGUCAUCAUGGCCCUUACGGCUAGGGCAACACACGUGCUACAAUGGUUAGGACAAUGAGAAGCAAUAUCGCGAGGUGGAGCAAAUCUAUAAACCUAAUCUCAGUUCGGAUUGUAGUCUGCAACUCGACUACAUGAAGCUGGAAUCACUAGUAAUCGUAGAUCAGCUAUGCUACGGUGAAUACGUUCCCGGGUCUU
This 855-nucleotide ribosomal RNA is filed under the name uncultured organism. RNAcentral describes it as "bacterial SSU rRNA". It matches the Rfam family "Bacterial small subunit ribosomal RNA", at positions 527 to 1382 of the family's 1533-position model. The record is from RNAcentral.